RNAcentral lists this ribosomal RNA (253 nucleotides) under uncultured bacterium. RNAcentral describes it as "partial 16S ribosomal RNA". It matches the Rfam family "Bacterial small subunit ribosomal RNA", at positions 524 to 776 of the family's 1533-position model. The record is from RNAcentral.
UACGUAGGGUGCAAGCGUUACUCGGAAUUACUGGGCGUAAAGCGUGCGCAGGCGGUGAUGUAAGUCAGAUGUGAAAUCCCCGGGCUCAACCUGGGAACUGCAUUUGUGACUGCAUCGCUGGAGUGCGGCAGAGGGGGAUGGAAUUCCGCGUGUAGCAGUGAAAUGCGUAGAUAUGCGGAGGAACACCGAUGGCGAAGGCAAUCCCCUGGGCCUGCACUGACGCUCAUGCACGAAAGCGUGGGGAGCAAACAGG